UCGGAGUCCGAUUUAGCCAUGCUAGUUGCACGAGUUUAGACUCGUAGCAUAUAGCUCAGUAACACGUGGCCAAACUACCCUACAGACCGCGAUAACCUCGGGAAACUGAGGCCAAUAGCGGAUAUAACUCUCAUGCUGGAGUGCAGAGAGUUAGAAACGUUCCGGCGCUGUAGGAUGUGGCUGCGGCCGAUUAGGUAGAUGGUGGGGUAACGGCCCACCAUGCCGAUAAUCGGUACAGGUUGUGAGAGCAAGAGCCUGGAGACGGUAUCUGAGACAAGAUACCGGGCCCUACGGGGCGCAGCAGGCGCGAAACCUUUACACUGCACGACAGUGCGAUAGGGGGACUCCGAGUGUGAGGGCAUAUAGCCCUCGCUUUUCUGUACCGUAAGGUGGUACAGGAACAAGGACUGGGCAAGACCGGUGCCAGCCGCCGCGGUAAUACCGGCAGUCCAAGUGAUGGCCGAUAUUAUUGGGCCUAAAGCGUCCGUAGCUUGCUGUGUAAGUCCAUUGGGAAAUCGACCAGCUCAACUGGUCGGCGUCCGGUGGAAACUACACAGCUUGGGGCCGAGAGACUCAACGGGUACGUCCGGGGUAGGAGUGAAAUCCUGUAAUCCUGGACGGACCACCAAUGGGGAAACCACGUUGAGAGACCGGACCCGACAGUGAGGGACGAAAGCCAGGGUCUCGAACCGGAUUAGAUACCCGGGUAGUCCUGGCUGUAAACAAUGCUCGCUAGGUAUGUCACGCGCCAUGAGCACGUGAUGUGCCGUAGUGAAGACGAUAAGCGAGCCGCCUGGGAAGUACGUCCGCAAGGAUGAAACUUAAAGAAUUUGGCGGGGGAGCACCACAACCGGA
RNAcentral lists this ribosomal RNA (855 nucleotides) under Halobacteriaceae archaeon Ston3. RNAcentral describes it as "bacterial SSU rRNA". It matches the Rfam family "Archaeal small subunit ribosomal RNA", at positions 33 to 889 of the family's 1478-position model. Lineage: Archaea; Methanobacteriati; Methanobacteriota; Halobacteria; Halobacteriales; Halobacteriaceae. The record is from RNAcentral.